AAAAAAGCUAAUAAAAUUAAAAAUUUUUCUUUCAGUUUUCUGAAAAAAAUGAAAAUGAAAUCUAAGAUGGAUAAAUUAUUUAAUAUCUUCAUAUAAAAUGAGAGUGAUGAGACAAUCCAAUAAUACAUCAAUAUUUAAAUUGAAAUUUUAUUUUAGAAGCUCAUUAAAAGACGAUUCAACCCAUUCUCUAAUUCACCGUAAACAUGUUCAGAGCCAAGGAGAAUUAUAAAUAGGAGUGACCACAGACUUCACUUGCAGAUACUUAUGCAGAGCAUCCAAUCCAAGAUCUUUUCCAAACCCACUCAUCUUGUAUCCUCCAUAAGGACAAUCAUUAUCAAAUCCAAAGUAACAAUUGAUCCAAAUGAUACCAGCUCUUAUUGAUCUUGAAACUGUGUUAGCCACAUCCAAAUUCUUGGUUAUAAUCCCAGCUGCCAGCCCAUAUCUUGUAUUAUUUGCACUCUUGAUUGCCUCAUCCAUUGUCUUGAACUUCAUCAGUGACAUUACAGGCCCAAAAAUUUCAUCCUUGGCGAUCAACAUGUCCUCCUUAACAUCAGUGAAAAUAGUAGGCUGAAUAUAGUAUCCUUUUUCUCCAGUAGGCUUGCCACCUAUUAACAAGGUGGCUCCUUCUCUUUUGCCAUGCUCAAUGUAAGACAAAAUUUUAUCGAACUGCUGUUUAUCCACCUGUGGACCCUGGCGAGUGUUAGGAUCAAAAGGAUCCCCUACCACCCAUUGCUUUGCUUUCUCUGCCAAUUUCUUUACAAAUUCGUCAUAAAUCCCUUCUUGGACAUAAACUCUUGAACUUGCCACGCAAAUCUCUCCCUGGAAAAAUGAAUCAAAAGGAAAAUAAUAUAGGAGACAAAUACGUACCUUGGAAACUAAAUCGGAGCAUAAAGGAAAUGAAUUAAUUUGCCUUGUUAAAGAGGAUGCCGAGGAGAGCAAGAUCAGCAGCUGUAUCUACAUCAGCAUCAUCAAAUAUUAAGAGAGGUGAUUUGCCUCCCAAUUCAAGUGAAACAUGUUUCAGAUUGCUCAUUGCUGCAGCUUGCAUUACUUUUCGACCCACUUCAGUCGAUCCUGUAAAACUUACCUGAAAAGACCACUAAACGUGUAAACUGAAGGGGAGGAAAAUUAAGGUGGCAGGAUUUGAAUUCUUAAGUCUUUAACUUCACCUUAUCAAUGUCCAUAUGGGAAGAAAUGGCAGCACCGGCAGUCGGUCCAUAUCCGUUUAUCACGUUGAUCACUCCAUCAGGAAUACCAGCCUGCUUAGCUAAAUAAGCAUAAUAUAGAGCAGAAAGGGGUGUUUGCUCAGCUGGUUUGACAACCAUGGUGCACCCAGCGGCUAAUGCUGGGGCAACCUUGGCGAAGAACAAGGUGCUAGGGAAAUUCCAAGGGAUGAUAUGGCCUACAACACCAACUGGCUCUUGCAGAGUGUACCCUUGAAGCUCGCUUGACAUUUUCAAUACUUGUCCAUGAAUUUUAUCUGCUGCACCUGCAUAGUAUCGUAAAACGUUUGCUACGUUAGGAAUGUCCAUGGUUUUCCCCAAGCUGAACAACUUCCCAGCAUCAACUGUGUCCAGUGCAGCUAAUUCUUCCUUAUGUUCUUCGAUUAAAUCUGCAUAUUUCAUCAUGAUCCUUCCCCUUGCAAAACCAGACAGGCGAGGCCAUGGACCAUUGUCAAAAGCGUGGCGUGCAGCCUUCACAGCCAAAUCAACGUCCUCUUUAUCUCCUUCUGCAACUCUUGCUAUCACCUCUCCGCUUCUCGGGUCUACUGUCUCAAAUGUUUUCCCUGAAAAUGAAUCAACAAAUUCUCCAUUGAUGAAAAGUUUCGUAAACUUUAUUGUUGGCAUCUUGAUGAAAGAGUUAGAGUUCCCAUUGCUUUGACUUCCCAUCUCUCUCUCUCCCUCUCUCUUCUUCUCUUUUGCUCUUAGAGUGGCCUAUGACUAGCUCUGCAGACUGCAACAAGCAUCCUUCAACAUUUAUAGACAGGCUCCUCCAUAGACUGCUAGAACUGCAAGAACCACAUAAAAGAAAACUCAAAAAUUAUAUACGCCCAGCCAAAGGUGGUCAGGAUGGAACCCAAGAUUGGACGGGAAUGAAAGCUUUCCCCUGCCCAAAAGCGGCAAUGGAGAGCCAAAAAGGACGAGCUCCCUUGAGCAAAAGAAGACCACAACAGAGAAGAGAAAACGCGCAAAAG
This 2191-nucleotide unclassified non-coding RNA is filed under the name Hevea brasiliensis (rubber tree). The record is from RNAcentral. Lineage: Eukaryota; Viridiplantae; Streptophyta; Magnoliopsida; Malpighiales; Euphorbiaceae.